GUUAUAUUAUUGUUCGUUUCUAUGUGUGUUGCAUUUUAACGUUGAGUCGUUGUGUUUUUCUCUUAUUUUUGAGAAAUUGAGAUAAGACGUGGCACGGUACUUGUCUAUCCCAAAUUCAUGUAUUUGGUUUUCAUGUUAUAUUUGUUAUUCUCGUGGUGUUUUGUCUGAUGCUUGGUCCGUUUCUGUGUGUGUUACGUUUCGGUGUUAUGUCGUUGUUCUCCUCUUAUAUUUAAUGCGUUUCCCUCGGUUUUAGUUUGUUACCCCGAUUUUGUUUUUUUGUCCAUGGAUUUAUGAGUUUUGAACAGCGGUAUACUACUGUUGCCUUUAUCUAUG
RNAcentral lists this long non-coding RNA (333 nucleotides) under Mytilus galloprovincialis (Mediterranean mussel). The record is from RNAcentral. Lineage: Eukaryota; Metazoa; Mollusca; Bivalvia; Mytilida; Mytilidae.